UCUUACCCCCAUACCACCUUGAAUGCACCUGAUCUAAUCUGAACUAGGAAGCUAAGCAGGGUUGGGCCUGGUUAGUACUUGGAUGGGAGACAUCUUCAGAGGAGACUGCUCAGAGACAAAC
Castor canadensis (American beaver) is the source of this 121-nucleotide ribosomal RNA. The record is from Ensembl. NCBI's taxonomy places the organism in Eukaryota, Metazoa, Chordata, Mammalia, Rodentia, Castoridae.